This is a non-coding RNA of Pelobates cultripes (western spadefoot toad), 323 nucleotides long. The record is from the annotation of a GenBank genome assembly. Lineage: Eukaryota; Metazoa; Chordata; Amphibia; Anura; Pelobatidae.
GUUCUGUUUAAUUAAGAUUUUCUUAUCCCCUGCUAUGUUAAUAGCUUGCUAGACCCUGCAAGAGCCUCCUGUAUGUGAUUAAAGUUCAAUUUAGAGAUUGAGAUAUAAUUAUUUAAGGUAAAUUACAUCUGUUUGAAGGUGAAACCAGUUUUUUUUUCAUGCAGGCUCUGUCAAUCACAGCCAGGGGAGGUGUGGCUAGGGCUGCAUAAACAGAAACAAAGUGAUUUAACUCCUAAAUGACAGUGAAUCGAGCAGUGAAAUUGCAGGGGAAUGAUCUAUACACUAAAACUGCUUUAUUUAGCUAAAGUAAUUUAGGUGACUAU